RNAcentral lists this ribosomal RNA (253 nucleotides) under uncultured bacterium. RNAcentral's name for it is "partial 16S ribosomal RNA". It matches the Rfam family "Bacterial small subunit ribosomal RNA", at positions 524 to 776 of the family's 1533-position model. The record is from RNAcentral.
UACAGAGGUCUCAAGCGUUGUUCGGAUUCAUUGGGCGUAAAGGGUGCGUAGGUGGCGGGGUAAGUCAGGUGUGAAAUCUCGAGGCUCAACCUCGAAACUGCACUUGAUACUGCCUUGCUAGAGUACUGGAGAGGAGAUUGGAAUUUACGGUGUAGCAGUGAAAUGCGUAGAUAUCGUAAGGAAGACCAGUGGCGAAGGCGGCUCACUGGCCCGGUACUGACGCUGAGGUGCGAAAGCGUGGGGAGCAAACAGG